This 497-nucleotide ribosomal RNA is filed under the name uncultured bacterium. RNAcentral describes it as "partial 16S ribosomal RNA". It matches the Rfam family "Bacterial small subunit ribosomal RNA", at positions 28 to 507 of the family's 1533-position model. The record is from RNAcentral.
GAUGAACGCUGGCGGCGUGCCUAAUACAUGCAAGUCGAGCGAACGGACGAGAAGCUUGCUUUUCUGAUGUUAGCGGCGGACGGGAGAGUAACACGUGGAUAACCUACCUAUCAUACUGGGAUAACUUCGGGAAACCGGCGCUAAUACCGGAUAAUAUUUUGCACCGCAUUGUUCAAAAGUGAAAGACGGUCUUGCUGUCACUUAUCGAUGGAUCCGCGCUGCAUUAGCUGGUUGGUAAGGUAACGGCCUACCAAGGCAACGAUGCAUAGGCGACGUGAGAGAGGGAUAGGCCACACGAGAGCGUGGACACGCACCUGACGACUGCGGUAGGCAGCAGUAGGGAAUCGUCCGCAGUGGGCGAAAGCCUUACGGAGCAACGCCGCGUGUGAGGUGGCGGUCUUGGGAGCGUAAAACUCUGUUAUUAGGUAAGAACAUAUGUGUAAGGAACUGUGCACAGCGUGACGGUACCUAGUCAGAAAGCCACGGCUAACUACGUG